This 486-nucleotide ribosomal RNA is filed under the name uncultured bacterium. Its description in RNAcentral is "partial 16S ribosomal RNA". It matches the Rfam family "Bacterial small subunit ribosomal RNA", at positions 30 to 507 of the family's 1533-position model. The record is from RNAcentral.
AUUGAACGCUGGCGGCAUGCCUUACACAUGCAAGUCGAACGGCAGCACGGGUGCUUGCACCUGGUGGCGAGUGGCGAUCGGGUGAGUAAUACAUCGGAACAUGUCCUGUAGUGGGGGAUAGCCCGGCGAAAGCCGGAUUAAUACCGCAUACGAUCUACGGAUGAAAGCGGGGGACCUUCGGGCCUCGCGCUAUAGGGUUGGCCGAUGGCUGAUUAGCUAGUUGGUGGGGUAAAGGCCUACCAAGGCGACGAUCAGUAGCUGGUCUGAGAGGACGACCAGCCACACUGGGACUGAGACACGGCCCAGACUCCUACGGGAGGCAGCAGUGGGGAAUUUUGGACAAUGGGCGAAAGCCUGAUCCAGCAAUGCCGCGUGUGUGAAGAAGGCCUUCGGGUUGUAAAGCACUUUUGUCCGGAAAGAAAUCCUUGGCCCUAAUACGGUCGGGGGAUGACGGUACCGGAAGAAUAAGCACCGGCUAACUACGUG